Molecule: unclassified non-coding RNA, 244 nt
Filed under: Hevea brasiliensis (rubber tree)
Lineage: Eukaryota; Viridiplantae; Streptophyta; Magnoliopsida; Malpighiales; Euphorbiaceae
Source: RNAcentral
GAAAGGUGCAAUUUGAGCUCCAGAAACUUGUUGAUCGAUAUCGCUCUCAUAUUUCACAAACCAUAACACGCCCAUCUGAAUCUCUUCUGAAUCAACUUCGAACAGUUGAGGAGAUGAAAAGGCAAUGUGAUGAGAAAAGAGAAGUAUAUGAAUACAUGAGACAGAGGCACAAGGAGAAGGGGAGGUCAAAAACUGUCAAGGGAGAGAGCUUUACAUUGCAACAGUUGCAAACAGCCCGAGAAGA